AAAAAUACGAUUAAUGAAACCCAUGUAAAUACUCGUUGUGAUUUUGGAGAUUGAAGUCCACCCCAAGUAACUAAGAAUGACCAUAAGCCAUUUGCAAAGUGGAACACAACAGCAAUAAUACAAAUAAUAUAAAAUAUUGCCCAUCCAGGA
This 150-nucleotide small RNA is filed under the name Staphylococcus aureus. RNAcentral describes it as "HMPRFS0000_1202". The record is from RNAcentral. Lineage: Bacteria; Bacillati; Bacillota; Bacilli; Caryophanales; Staphylococcaceae.